GAGUUUGAUCCUGGUUCAGGACGAACGCUGGCGGCGUGCCUAACACAUGCAAGUCGAGCGGAGAUAUAUGGAAGGUUUACCGGAAAUAUAUUCUUAGCGGCGGACGGGUGAGUAACGCGUGGGCAACCUACCUCGUACAGGGGGAUAACACAGGGAAACUUGUGCUAAUACCGCAUGAAAUCAUAGUAUGGCAUCAUACAAUGAUCAAAGGAGUAAUCCGGUAUGAGAUGGGCCCGCGUCCGAUUAGCUAGUUGGUGGGGUAAAGGCCUACCAAGGCGACGAUCGGUAGCCGAACUGAGAGGUUGAUCGGCCACAUUGGGACUGAGACGCGGCCCAGACUCCUACGGGAGGCAGCAGUGGGGAAUAUUGCGCAAUGGGGGGAACCCUGACGCAGCAACGCCGCGUGAAGGAAGAAGGCCUUCGGGUUGUAAACUUCUUUGAUUGGGGACGAAUAAUGACGG
This 461-nucleotide ribosomal RNA is filed under the name uncultured bacterium. Its description in RNAcentral is "bacterial SSU rRNA". It matches the Rfam family "Bacterial small subunit ribosomal RNA", at positions 9 to 475 of the family's 1533-position model. The record is from RNAcentral.